AACGAACGCUGGCGGCAUGCCUAACACAUGCAAGUCGAACGAGACCUUCGGGUCUAGUGGCGCACGGGUGCGUAACGCGUGGGAAUCUACCCUUGGGUUCGGAAUAACAGUUAGAAAGGACUGCUAAUACCGGAUGAUGACGUAAGUCCAAAGAUUUAUCGCACAAGGAUGAGCCCGCGUAAGAUUAGCUGGUUGGUGGGGUAAUGGCCUACCAAGGCGACGAUCUUUAGCUGGUCUGAGAGGAUGAUCAGCCACACUGGGACUGAGACACGGCCCAGACUCCUACGGGAGGCAGCAGUGGGGAAUAUUGGACAAUGGGCGAAAGCCUGAUCCAGCAAUGCCGCGUGAGUGAUGAAGGCCUUAGGGUUGUAAAGCUCUUUUACCAGGGAUGAUAAUGACAGUACCUGGAGAAUAAGCUCCGGCUAACUCCGUGCCAGCCGCCGCCGUAA
RNAcentral lists this ribosomal RNA (449 nucleotides) under uncultured bacterium. RNAcentral describes it as "partial 16S ribosomal RNA". It matches the Rfam family "Bacterial small subunit ribosomal RNA", at positions 29 to 523 of the family's 1533-position model. The record is from RNAcentral.